GACUUUCCCAGACAAACGGAGGCUGAAGGAUUUCAUCAAUACCAGUUCUAGGCUACAGGAAAUGCUAAAGAGUGUACUUCAAUAAGAAAGAAAAUGUCAUUAAUGUGCAAGAAGAGUCAUGUGAAGGUUUAAAACCCACUGGUAAUAGUAAUUACACAAAAACACAGAAUAUUGUCAAACUGUAACUAUGGUGUAUAAACUACCCUUAUAUUAAAUGGAAAAAUUGAACAAAGAACUAAUCAAAAAAAAAAAAAAAAAAAAAAAAAACCCAAAAAAAAAAGGCUGGAGAAAUUACAUUAUUUGACUUCAAAUUAUACUACAGAGUGAUAGCAGCGAAAACUGAAUGGUACUGGCAUAAAAAUAGACAUAUAGACCAAUAUAAGAGAAUAGAGGAUGCAGAAACAAAUCCACAACAUAUAGUGAACUCAUUUUCAACAA
RNAcentral lists this long non-coding RNA (438 nucleotides) under Homo sapiens (human). Its description in RNAcentral is "HSALNT0202555". The record is from RNAcentral. Lineage: Eukaryota; Metazoa; Chordata; Mammalia; Primates; Hominidae.